RNAcentral lists this ribosomal RNA (510 nucleotides) under Enoploteuthis leptura. RNAcentral's name for it is "partial 16S ribosomal RNA". It matches the Rfam family "Bacterial large subunit ribosomal RNA", at positions 1837 to 2604 of the family's 2925-position model. Lineage: Eukaryota; Metazoa; Mollusca; Cephalopoda; Oegopsida; Enoploteuthidae. The record is from RNAcentral.
UAUUAUAAAUAAAGAGUCGGGCCUGCUCGGUGAACAUAUUGUUUUAACAGCUGCGGUAUUUUAACUGUACUAAGGUAGCAUAAUAAUUUGCCUUAUAAUUUGAGGCUAGAAUGAAUGGUUUGACGAAGGUUAAACUGUCUCUAUUUUAUUUUUUAGAAUUUAAUUUACAAAGUGAAAAAGCUUGUAUGUCUUAAAGGGACGAGAAGACCCUAAUGAGCUUUAAUUUUAUUAGUUUUCUUUAUUAUAAUGAAGAGAUGAUUAUAUAAAUUUUAAUUGGGGUGAUUAAGGAAUAAUAUGUUAUAGGUUAGUAACUUCCUUAAAUUAAAUAUUGUUAGAUAAAUUAACCAAUGAUAUUGCUUAUAAUAGAGUUACCAUAGGGAUAACAGCGUAAUUUAUUUUGAGAGUUCUUAUUGAAAAAUGAGAUUGCGACCUCGAUGUUGGAUUAAAGUAACCUUAAGGUGCAGAAGCUUUAAAAGGUAAAUCUGUUCGAUUUUUAAAACUUUACAUGAU